Molecule: ribosomal RNA, 497 nt
Filed under: uncultured bacterium
Lineage: Bacteria
Description: partial 16S ribosomal RNA
Rfam family: Bacterial small subunit ribosomal RNA
Source: RNAcentral
GAUGAACGCUGGCGGCGUGCCUAAUACAUGCAAGUCGAGCGAACGGACGAGAAGCUUGCUUCUCUGAUGUUAGCGGCGGACGGGUGAGUAACACGUGGAUAACCUACCUAUAAGACUGGGAUAACUUCGGGAAACCGGAGCUAAUACCGGAUGAUAUUUUGAACCGCAUGGUUCAAAAGUGAAAGACGGUCUUGCUGUCACUUAUAGAGGGAUCCGCGCUGCAUUAGCUAGUUGGUAAGGUAACGGCUUACCAAGGCAACGAGGCGUAGCCGACCUGAGAGGGUGAUCGGCCACACUGGAGCUGAGACACGGUCCAGAGUACUACGGGAGGCAGCAGUAGGGAAUCUUCCGCAAUGGGCGAAAGCCUGACGGAGCAACGCCGCGUGAGUGAUGACGGUCUUCGGAUCGUAAAACUCUGUUAUUAGGGAAGAACAUAUGUGUAAGGAACUGUGCACAGCUUGACGGUACCUAAUCAGAAAGCCACGGCUAACUACGUG